GAUGAACGCUGGCGGCGUGCUUAACACAUGCAAGUCGAACGAAGCAUUUAGGACAGAUUACUUCGGUUUGAAGUUCUUUAUGACUGAGUGGCGGACGGGUGAGUAACGCGUGGGUAACCUGCCUUGUACUGGGGGAUAGCAUCUGGAAACGGCUGGUAAUACCGCAUAAGCGCACAAUGUUGCAUGACAUGGUGUGAAAAACUCCGGUGGUAUAAGAUGGACCCGCGUCUGAUUAGCUAGUUGGUGAGAUAACAGCCCACCAAGGCGACGAUCAGUAGCCGACCUGAGAGGGUGACCGGCCACAUUGGGACUGAGACACGGCCCAGACUCCUACGGGAGUCAGCAGUGGGGAAUAUUGCACAAUGGAGGAAACUCUGAUGCAGCGACGCCGCGUGAGUGAAGAAGUAAUUCGUUAUGUAAAGCUCUAUCAGCAGGGAAGAUAGUGACGGUACCUGACUAAGAAGCUCCGGCUAAAUACGUG
This 481-nucleotide ribosomal RNA is filed under the name uncultured bacterium. RNAcentral describes it as "partial 16S ribosomal RNA". It matches the Rfam family "Bacterial small subunit ribosomal RNA", at positions 28 to 507 of the family's 1533-position model. The record is from RNAcentral.